UAGGGAAUCUUCGGCAAUGGACGGAAGUCUGACCGAGCAACGCCGCGUGAGUGAAGAAGGUUUUCGGAUCGUAAAGCUCUGUUGUAAGAGAAGAACGAGUGUGAGAGUGGAAAGUUCACACUGUGACGGUAUCUUACCAGAAAGGGACGGCUAACUACGUGCCGGCAGCCGCGGUAAUACGUAGGUCCCGAGCGUUGUCCGGAUUUAUUGGGCGUAAAGCGAGCGCAGGCGGUUAGAUAAGUCUGAAGUUAAAGGCUGUGGCUUAACCAUAGUACGCUUUGGAAACUGUUUAACUUGAGUGCAAGAGGGGAGAGUGGAAUUCCAUGUGUAGCGGUGAAAUGCGUAGAUAUAUGGAGGAACACCGGUGGCGAAAGCGGCUCUCUGGCUUGUAACUGACGCUGAGGCUCGAAAGCGUGGGGAGCAAACAGGAUUAGAUACCCUGGUAGUCCACGCCGUAAACGAUGAGUGCUAGGUGUUAGACCCUUUCCGGGGUUUAGUGCCGCAGCUAACGCAUUAAGCACUCCGCCUGGGGAGUACGACCGCAAGGUUG
This 550-nucleotide ribosomal RNA is filed under the name uncultured bacterium. RNAcentral describes it as "bacterial SSU rRNA". It matches the Rfam family "Bacterial small subunit ribosomal RNA", at positions 355 to 896 of the family's 1533-position model. The record is from RNAcentral.